AUCCCAACUGGGAACUGUCCAGGGGGCUGGAAAUCAGGACUGAGGAACAGCACAGAGGAACUAACCCAAAGGAUGAAAGCGAUACUACAGAUCUGAAGGGGAGCUAACAGAAAGGGAGAAAGAGAAACAGGGCCGGGGAACACCCACCUUGGGGAGGAGAAGCCGGUGGCCAGGCUGUGAAGGGAAUAUGCAGCGACCUGGCUGCAAACUUCCUGACUUCAGAGGCCAGGCUGGAGCCCAAGAAGGCUUUGCGGACCCGUGGCUGUGCUCCUCGUGUGAGCCAAGUGUAGUCCCUGGCGGUGACGCCUGCAGCUCGGCUCUGCCCGCGUUCCGGCGGCGGGGGGUGCGGACCAGCUGAGCAGGACUAGCGCGGCUCCAGGGCCAGAUUGCCGUCUCUGUUCAGACCCCAACAGCAGCGCCCCAUGUCGCCAGGACUCGCGAACCACCUCGGCUGGGGUGUGCUGGCCUGCUCUGCUCCUGUGCUUCGGGUCUUUAUUCCGCUUUGAAUGGGUUUCUUGAAAAACAAACUCUUUGACGUAAAAAAAAAAAAAACCAAACAGUUUAUGGUCUUUAGAAUGUUGAUUUGAAAUAAAGCGAAUAUUGGUGACAUGCUCUGCAGAUAGUUACAUAAAGCUGUGAAAGAGCCACAAAUAAUUUACUCUAACUGCAGCACUAAUUAUUGUCCUGUACAAAGCAGCCGCUGUUAGGAGUCGUUUCUUUGAGUGGUAUCAAUUCCCCAGGAGAUAAGCAUUAUAAAAAUGAUUAAAAGAAUUUCAUAUGAUUUUUGUCAUUAAAAUAAAAUCUCAAUAAACCAGCA
Molecule: long non-coding RNA, 817 nt
Organism: Neomonachus schauinslandi (Hawaiian monk seal)
Lineage: Eukaryota; Metazoa; Chordata; Mammalia; Carnivora; Phocidae
Exons: 2
Source: RefSeq, a predicted model, not a curated record